UACAGAGGGGGCAAGCGUUAUUCGGAUUUAUUGGGCGUAAAGGGCGCGUAGGCGGCCUGAUAAGUCAGGGGUGAAAUCCCUCGGCUCAACCGAGGAACUGCCUCUGAAACUGUCUGGCUUGAGACCGGGAGAGGGUGGUGGAAUUCCCAGUGUAGCGGUGAAAUGCGUAGAUAUUGGGAGGAACACCGGUGGCGAAGGCGGCCACCUGGACCGGUUCUGACGCUGAGGCGCGAAAGUGUGGGGAGCAAACAGG
RNAcentral lists this ribosomal RNA (253 nucleotides) under uncultured bacterium. RNAcentral describes it as "partial 16S ribosomal RNA". It matches the Rfam family "Bacterial small subunit ribosomal RNA", at positions 524 to 776 of the family's 1533-position model. The record is from RNAcentral.